UUCCUCGACAAAUCUAUCCGCCAGAGAACUACUAGCAACAGCUUAAAACUCAAAGGACUUGGCGGUGCUUUACAUCCCUCUAGAGGAGCCUGUUCUAUAAUCGAUAAACCCCGAUACACCUCACCACCUCUCGCUAAAUCAGUCUAUAUACCGCCAUCUUCAGCAAACCCUAAAAAGGAAGAAUAGUAAGCACAAACAUCUUAACAUAAAAAAGUUAGGUCAAGGUGUAACCCAUGAGGUGGGAAGCAAUGGGCUACAUUUUCUAUAUCUAGAACAACCCUUUACGAAAGUCCUUAUGAAAUUAAGAACCAAAGGAGGAUUUAGUAGUAAAUUGAGAAUAGAGUGCUCAAUUGAAUAGGGCCAUGAAGCACGCACACACCG
RNAcentral lists this ribosomal RNA (381 nucleotides) under Viverricula indica (small Indian civet). RNAcentral's name for it is "partial 12S ribosomal RNA". It matches the Rfam family "Bacterial small subunit ribosomal RNA", at positions 853 to 1392 of the family's 1533-position model. The record is from RNAcentral. Lineage: Eukaryota; Metazoa; Chordata; Mammalia; Carnivora; Viverridae.